Molecule: long non-coding RNA, 2644 nt
Organism: Monodelphis domestica (gray short-tailed opossum)
Lineage: Eukaryota; Metazoa; Chordata; Mammalia; Didelphimorphia; Didelphidae
Source: RefSeq, a predicted model, not a curated record
UCAAUUCUCCUCAUUACAGAUUCUUCUAAUUUUAGUGUACUCUUCUGAGAGAAAUGGGAUUGGGGGUAAGGAAAAGUUUCAGACAAUAUGGAGUUUUAGGUACCUCAUUUUAGAAGGAACAUUAACAAGACAGUUGCCAGAGGAAAGUUACCAGGAAAAUGAGAUAACUGGAGACUAUGCCACAUGAGAAGAGAAUGAAAGAACUGCCACCUGACUGCUUGUGAGGGGGGAGAAGGAAGGAAGUAUCAUGGGUGACUGGAAACUAUACCAUAUGAAAACUGUCUGAAGAAACUGAGGAUGUUUAAACUGGAGAAGAAAUGGGAUAAAUGAAAGGCCAGUUGGGUGGAGGAAGGAAGAAGGAUCCAUUUGAAAAUGAAGAUAAUGGGGGGAAAAACAAAUGACAUCAAUUAAAGAAAAUUUAAAGAAAAAGCACAGUAGGCACUUCAGCAUGUUUGUUGAAUCGAACUCCAUUGGCAAUUAGAAGGUAAUAGGUGACCUUGGGAAGAACUGUUUCAGUAGAAUGGUAGGAACAGAAGCCAGAUUGCAGAGAGCUGUUGAGUGAGUGAGUGGGUGGUGAGAAAGUGUAGAGUUUUGUUCUACAAUAGGAUUUUGUACUUUACAAAAGGAUUCACCAUAGGAUUCCCUCCACAUGUCUAUUAAAAACCUGCUUCCCUCUAGCAAAACAGAAGGCAGCCCACUCCCUAUAGCAACAACCUUUCUGGAGCUGUGAUAUCUCAGCAUUAUUAUUUACUUGAUUUCUUGACACUCCUACCCACCUCCAAAAAAGUGCUUUCUUUUUUUUUUUUUAACAAGUGAAACAAUUGAUUUUGUGCUGAGAAUUUCCCAGCAUCCUGCUACAUAAUAGAAUACUCCUGGAUUUCUGGAGUUAAAAAGCAUUGCCCCCUACACAUAUAAGAUCUAUGUGGUAGUAUGUUAGAUGAGGGAUUAUGAUAUGUUUGCUUCCACAUUUUUCCUUUGAACAAUCUCAGAACAAAGUCAUCUAAAUUAGGUUCAUAACCGUCCAAGACUUUGGUCUAACUAUCCAUACAGGAAAAAAAAAGAAGGCUUAUUGUCCACUUUGGUUUGUGGUAUGAGGCUAUGAUGUACUAAUAACAAUAAUAAUAUGAAGAAGAAAAAGAACUAGCAUUUUUAUAGAAUUUAAAGUGCUUUUCUUGUGUUGAUUCAAUUGGUCCUCACAACAACCCUGUGAGGUAGGUGGUAUUAUUAUCCUUAUUUUGCAAAUGAAGAAACAGAUUGAGAAAAGUUAAAUGACUUGCCCAAAGUCCAACAUCUGGUAUGUGUCUAAAUCAGAAUUGGAACUUAGUUUUUUCUAACUCUAAGUUCAUCAUUCUAGCCACUGUGCCUCCCACCUGCCAGAUCUAUAACUUGAUAGUCAACACAUUGUUGAUUUUGACCUCUGGAUUUUUGAUGAUUAGGCCCAGAAUUGAAGAGGAGGUGAAUGGGCUGGAUAACAUUUGGUACAUUGUAUAGCUCACCAUAAUAGAGAUUUGCAAUAAUACAUUUCUGUUUUACAAUGUGGUAAUGUUUGUAUUAUUUGGUGCUUAAGUUCAGAAUAAAAAUAAACCCAAUUGGAAAGAUGUGUUAGGCUUCUAACAGUCCCAAGCUACAAACACCUAUCUUUUUUUUAAACAUCCGUAUUCUUCAUAGGAUCAUAGAUCUAGAGUUGGAAAAGAAGUCCAAUUCAACUCCUCCAUUUUAUUCAUGAGGCAUCUGAGGCUCAGGAAAAUAAAGGAACUUACCCAAAAAUCACAAUAGGUAAAUGCCAGAAGUAGGAUUUGAACCCAAGUCUUUUAAUUCCAUAAUCAGUGACCUUUUCCUAGUACUACCUAUCUUUCAAACCAUAGUUUUUAAAGGAUUAAAGUUACCAUUCCCAAAAAGGCAAUGGAGAAGUAUGAGUUUGGGUGUGAGCUUUCUACAGCAUAUUACCAAUAAAGAACUGUUCAAAAUCAAUGUAGCUAUGUGACUGUAAAAGGAAUUGGUCUAGUAAUGUAAGGAAAGUAAAAGGCAAUCAAUGGGCAUCACACAUGGGUAUACCAUUGUUAUCUAUUCCGUGUUAAAUAGUUUUAGAAGAAUUCUUGCAUGUUGGGUAGAUUCCUUGGUGAGAGGCAGAGGGAAAAGAAAUUAAUGGGAAGAAAUGGAUGAGGAUGAAAGAGUAUAGGGAAUGGAUAAAGCAUUGAAACAAUUCUUCAUUUUCUCUUUAUUCAUGGGAAGUUGAAUGACAAAGAAGGAUUCAAUGUUUCAUUAGUGUUGAGAAUCUAUAUCACAGUUAGGAAACAAUUUUAACCCCCUCCCAAAAAAUUAGAAACAUGAAAAUUAAAUGACAAUAUUAAUACCAGCAUGUAAGAAUGAGACUAAAAGUUGCAAUCAUACUCCCUCAAGAAUCAUUGUAUUUCUUUUAAAAAAUUAAUAGAUGAUAUAUCAGAUUGCUUACCAUCUCAGGGAAGGGAGAGAAGAGAGAAGAUGGGAGAAAAAGAGAAAGUCUGGAACUCGAAAAAAAUUUUUAAUGAAUGAUAAAAAUUGUUUUUACAUGUAAUUGGGGAAAAAAUAAGACAUGAUUUAAAAGAUAAUAGAUAAGAGUGAAUCAGAAAAAAAAAUCAAAACAAAGGUAUUUUUUAUCCAUAAA